CCUACGGGAGGCUGCAGUGGGGAAUAUUGGACAAUGGGGGCAACCCUGAUCCAGCCAUGCCGCGUGUGUGAAGAAGGCCCUCGGGUUGUAAAGCACUUUCAGUGAGGAAGAACGCCUGGUGGUUAAUACCCAUCAGGAAAGACAUCACUCACAGAAGAAGCACCGGCUAACUCCGUGCCAGCAGCCGCGGUAAUACGGAGGGUGCGAGCGUCAAUCGGAAUUACUGGGCGUAAAGCGCGCGUAGGUGGCUUGAUAAGCCGGUUGUGAAAGCCCCGGGCUCAACCUGGGAACGGCAUCCGGAACUGUCAAGCUAGAGUGCAGGAGAGGAAGGUAGAAUUCCCGGUGUAGCGGUGAAAUGCGUAGAGAUCGGGAGGAAUACCAGUGGCGAAGGCGGCCUUCUGGACUGACACUGACACUGAGGUGCGAAAGCGUGGGUAGCAAACAGGAUUAGAUACCCCGGUAGUC
This 465-nucleotide ribosomal RNA is filed under the name Vreelandella stevensii. Its description in RNAcentral is "partial 16S ribosomal RNA". It matches the Rfam family "Bacterial small subunit ribosomal RNA", at positions 338 to 795 of the family's 1533-position model. Lineage: Bacteria; Pseudomonadati; Pseudomonadota; Gammaproteobacteria; Oceanospirillales; Halomonadaceae. The record is from RNAcentral.